GCAGCAUGGUAGGUAGCAAUACUUAUUGAUGGCGACCGGCGCACGGGUGAGUAACGCGUAUGCAACUUACCUAUCAGAGGGGGAUAGCCCGGCGAAAGUCGGAUUAAUACUCCAUAAAACAGGGGUCCCGCAUGGGAAUAUUUGUUAAAGAUUUAUCGCUGAUAGAUAGGCAUGCGUUCCAUUAGGCAGUUGGCGGGGUAACGGCCCACCAAACCGACGAUGGAUAGGGGUUCUGAGAGGAAGGUCCCCCACAUUGGUACUGAGACACGGACCAAACUCCUACGGGAGGCAGCAGUGAGGAAUAUUGGUCAAUGGCCGAGAGGCUGAACCAGCCAAGUCGCGUGAAGGAUGAAGGAUCUAUGGUUUGUAAACUUCUUUUAUAGGGGAAUAAAGUGUGGGACGUGUUCCAUUUUGUAUGUACCCUAUGAAUAAGCAUCGGCUAACUCCGUGCCAGCAGCCGCGGUAAUACGGAGGAUGCGAGCGUUAUCCGGAUUUAUUGGGUUUAAAGGGUGCGUAGGUGGUAAUUUAAGUCAGCGGUGAAAGUUUGUGGCUCAACCAUAAAAUUGCCGUUGAAACUGGGUUACUUGAGUGUGUUUGAGGUAGGCGGAAUGCGUGGUGUAGCGGUGAAAUGCAUAGAUAUCACGCAGAA
This 649-nucleotide ribosomal RNA is filed under the name uncultured bacterium. RNAcentral's name for it is "bacterial SSU rRNA". It matches the Rfam family "Bacterial small subunit ribosomal RNA", at positions 57 to 706 of the family's 1533-position model. The record is from RNAcentral.